AACGAACGCUGGCGGCAUGCCUAACACAUGCAAGUCGAACGAGACCUUCGGGUCUAGUGGCGCACGGGUGAGUAACGCGUGGGAACCUGCCCUUAGGUUCGGAAUAACUCCCCGAAAGGGGUGCUAAUACCGGAUAAUGUCUUCGGACCAAAGAUUUAUCGCCUUUGGUUGGGCCCGCGUUGGAUUAGCUAGUUGGUAGGGUAAAAGCCUACCAAGGCGACGAUCCAUAGCUGGUCUGAGAGGAUGAUCAGCCACACUGGGACUGAGACACGGCCCAGACUCUUGCGGGAGGCGGCAGUGGCGAAGAUUGGACUAUGGGCGAAAGCCUGAUCCAGCAAUGCCGCGUGAGUGAUGAAGGCCUUAGGGUUGUAAAGCUCUUUUACCCAUGAUGAUAAUGACAGUACCGGGAGAAUAAGCCCCGGCUAACUCCGUG
RNAcentral lists this ribosomal RNA (433 nucleotides) under uncultured bacterium. RNAcentral describes it as "partial 16S ribosomal RNA". It matches the Rfam family "Bacterial small subunit ribosomal RNA", at positions 29 to 507 of the family's 1533-position model. The record is from RNAcentral.